Molecule: long non-coding RNA, 212 nt
Filed under: Hordeum vulgare
Lineage: Eukaryota; Viridiplantae; Streptophyta; Magnoliopsida; Poales; Poaceae
Description: long non-coding RNA (HVUL_LNC011116)
Source: RNAcentral
UUAUUUUUAUUUUACAAGAGGACCGGUUUUGCUUUCAAGAGAGGCACGGCCGUACCACACAAAAACGAAAAAAUGUGUUUUCUGUUUUUUUUUCUCCCCAAGAGACACGAUUUUUCUUCAGCGAGGGCGAGGCAUGGUAGUACCUCUCAAAAAUGAAAAAAAUAAAUGCAUUUUCUUUUCUUCUUCCGCCAGAGACAUAGUUUUUCUUCUGC